GAAGGGUGCAAGCGUUAUUCGGAAUCAUUGGGCGUAAAGGGUGUGUAGGCGGCGUAUUAAGUCACUUGUUAAAUCCUUCGGCUUAACCGAAGAGCAGCAAGCGAAACUGAUAUGCUAGAGGAUGGAAGAGAGAAGUGGAAUUCUCGGAGUAGCGGUAAAAUGCGUAGAUCUCGAGAGGAACACCGAUGGCGAAGGCAGCUUCUUGGUCCAUUUCUGACGCUGAGACACGAAAGCGUGGGGUAGCAAACAGGAUUAGAUACCCUGGUAGUCCACGCUGUAAACGAUGAUCACUAGACGUCAUUUCUGUUUUACGGAAUUGGUGUUGCAGCUAACGCGUUAAGUGAUCCGCCUGGGGAGCACGGUCGCAAGACUA
This 373-nucleotide ribosomal RNA is filed under the name uncultured organism. Its description in RNAcentral is "partial 16S ribosomal RNA". It matches the Rfam family "Bacterial small subunit ribosomal RNA", at positions 527 to 896 of the family's 1533-position model. The record is from RNAcentral.